RNAcentral lists this ribosomal RNA (792 nucleotides) under uncultured bacterium. RNAcentral's name for it is "bacterial SSU rRNA". It matches the Rfam family "Bacterial small subunit ribosomal RNA", at positions 10 to 796 of the family's 1533-position model. The record is from RNAcentral.
AGUUUGAUCCUGGCUCAGAACGAACGCUGGCGGCGCGCCUAAUACAUGCAAGUCGAGCGAGAAGGUGUAGCAAUACACUUGUAAAGCGGCGAACGGGUGAGGAAUGCAUGGGUAACCUACCCUCGAGUGGGGAGUAACUAGCCGAAAGGUUAGCUAAUACCGCAUACGUUUCCGGAACUUCGGUUUCGGAAAGAAAGCAAUACCGUGGGUAUUGCGCUCCUGGAUGGGCUCAUGUCCUAUCAGCUUGUUGGUGAGGUAACGGCUCACCAAGGCUUCGACGGGUAGCUGGUCUGAGAGGACGAUCAGCCACACUGGCACUGCGACACGGGCCAGACUCCUACGGGAGGCAGCAGUAAGGAAUAUUGCGCAAUGGACGAAAGUCUGACGCAGCGACGCCGCGUGGGGGAUGAAGGUCUUCGGAUUGUAAACCCCUUUCGGGAGGGAAGAUGGAGUGGGUAACCACUUGGACGGUACCUCCAGAAGCAGCCACGGCUAACUUCGUGCCAGCAGCCGCGGUAAUACGAAGGUGGCAAGCGUUGUUCGGAUUCACUGGGCGUACAGGGAGCGUAGGCGGUUGGGUAAGCCCUCCGUGAAAUCUCCGGGCCUAACCCGGAAAGUGCAGAGGGGACUGCUCAGCUAGAGGAUGGGAGAGGAGCGCGGAAUUCCCGGUGUAGCGGUGAAAUGCGUAGAGAUCGGGAGGAAGGCCGGUGGCGAAGGCGGCGCUCUGGAACAUUUCUGACGCUGAGGCUCGAAAGCGUGGGGAGCAAACAGGAUUAGAUACCCUGGUAGUCC